UUAUUUGAGAGUUUGAUCCUGGCUCAGGAUGAACGCUGGCGGCGUGCCUAACACAUGCAAGUUGAGCGAUUUACUUCGGUAAAGAGCGGCGGACGGGUGAGUAACGCGUGGGUAACCUACCCUGUACACACGGAUAACAUACCGAAAGGUAUGCUAAUACGGGAUAACAUAUUUGAGAGGCAUCUCUUGAAUAUCAAAGGUGAGCCAGUACAGGAUGGACCCGCGUCUGAUUAGCUAGUUGGUAAGGUAACGGCUUACCAAGGCGACGAUCAGUAGCCGACCUGAGAGGGUGAUCGGCCACAUUGGAACUGAGACACGGUCCAAACUCCUACGGGAGGCAGCAGUGGGGAAUAUUGCACAAUGGGCGAAAGCCUGAUGCAGCAACGCCGCGUGAGUGAUGAAGGCUUUCGGGUCGUAAAACUCUGUCCUCAAGGAAGAUAAUGACGGUACUUGAGGAGGAAGCCCCGGCUAACUACGUGCCAGCAGCCGCGGUAAUACGUAGGGGGCUAGCGUUAUCCG
RNAcentral lists this ribosomal RNA (519 nucleotides) under Clostridioides sp. ZZV14-6044. Its description in RNAcentral is "bacterial SSU rRNA". It matches the Rfam family "Bacterial small subunit ribosomal RNA", at positions 1 to 547 of the family's 1533-position model. Lineage: Bacteria; Bacillati; Bacillota; Clostridia; Peptostreptococcales; Peptostreptococcaceae. The record is from RNAcentral.